GAUGCAUCAUUCAAAUAUCUGCCCUAUCAACUUUCGAUGGUAGGAUAGAGGCUACCAUGGUUUCAACGGGUAACGGGAAUAAGGGUUCGAUUCCGGAGAGGGAGCCUGAGAAACGGUACACAUCCAAGGAAGGCCAGCAGGCGCGCAAAUUACCCAAUCCCGACACGGGGAGGUAGUGACAAUAAAUAACAAUAUAGGGCUCUUUUGGGUUCUUAUAAUUGGGAAUCGAGUCACAAUUUAAAUCUCUUAACGAGGAACAAUUGGAGGGCAAGUCUGGUUGCCAGCAGCCGCGGUAAUUCCAGCUCCAAUAGCGUCAUAUCUAAAGUUGUUGCAGUUAAAAAGCUCGUAGUUGAACUUCAGAUCUGGUUGAGUGGUCCGCCUAACGGUGUGUUACUGCUUGACUGGAUCUUGUCUCUUGGUGAACCGUUGUGUCUUUAUUGGAUGCUUCGGGGAACCAGGACUUUUACCUUGAGAAAAUUCAGAGUGUUCAAGCAGGCCUAUGCCCGAAUACAUUAGCAUGGAAUAAUAGAA
This 531-nucleotide ribosomal RNA is filed under the name uncultured fungus. RNAcentral's name for it is "SSU rRNA". It matches the Rfam family "Eukaryotic small subunit ribosomal RNA", at positions 289 to 822 of the family's 1831-position model. Lineage: Eukaryota; Fungi. The record is from RNAcentral.